This 305-nucleotide ribosomal RNA is filed under the name uncultured bacterium. RNAcentral's name for it is "bacterial SSU rRNA". It matches the Rfam family "Bacterial small subunit ribosomal RNA", at positions 333 to 635 of the family's 1533-position model. The record is from RNAcentral.
UUCUUCCUCCGGGGGGCAGCAGUGAGGAAUAUUGGUCAAUGGGCGCGAGCCUUCCGCCUCCCCUUCUCUUUCCUUCUUCCUUCCCUACGGUUUUUAAACUUCUUUUAUCCCUUAAUAAAGUGAGGCACUUUUGCCUUUUUGUAUGUACUUUAUUAAUAAGUAUCGGCUAACUCCGUGCCAGCAGCCUCGGUAAUACUGAGGAUCCUAUCUUUAUCCGGAUUUAUUGGGUUUAAAUGGAGCGUAGAUGGGUUGUUAAGUCAGUUGUGAAAGUUUGCGGCUCAACCGUAAAAUUGCAAUUGAUACUG